AGUCGAACGAUGAAGCCCUUCGGGGUGGAUUAGUGGCGAACGGGUGAGUAACACGUGGGCAAUCUGCCCUUCACUCUGGGACAAGCCCUGGAAACGGGGUCUAAUACCGGAUACCACUCCUGCCCGCAUGGGUGGGGGUUGAAAGCUCCGGCGGUGAAGGAUGAGCCCGCGGCCUAUCAGCUUGUUGGUGGGGUAAUGGCCCACCAAGGCGACGACGGGUAGCCGGCCUGAGAGGGCGACCGGCCACACUGGGACUGAGACACGGCCCAGACUCCUACGGGAGGCAGCAGUGGGGAAUAUUGCACAAUGGGCGAAAGCCUGAUGCAGCGACGCCGCGUGAGGGAUGACGGCCUUCGGGUUGUAAACCUCUUUCAGCAGGGAAGAAGCGAAAGUGACGGUACCUGCAGAAGAAGCGCCGGCUAACUACGUGCCAGCAGCCGCGGUAAUACGUAGGGCGCAAGCGUUGUCCGGAAUUAUUGGGCGUAAAGAGCUCGUAGGCGGCUUGUCACGUCGGAUGUGAAAGCCCGAGGCUUAACCUCGGGUCUGCAUUCGAUACGGGCUAGCUAGAGUGUGGUAGGGGAGAUCGGAAUUCCUGGUGUA
RNAcentral lists this ribosomal RNA (600 nucleotides) under Streptomyces sp. BA-116. Its description in RNAcentral is "bacterial SSU rRNA". It matches the Rfam family "Bacterial small subunit ribosomal RNA", at positions 60 to 677 of the family's 1533-position model. Lineage: Bacteria; Bacillati; Actinomycetota; Actinomycetes; Kitasatosporales; Streptomycetaceae. The record is from RNAcentral.